This 253-nucleotide ribosomal RNA is filed under the name uncultured bacterium. RNAcentral's name for it is "partial 16S ribosomal RNA". It matches the Rfam family "Bacterial small subunit ribosomal RNA", at positions 524 to 776 of the family's 1533-position model. The record is from RNAcentral.
UACGGAGGGUGCAAGCGUUAUCCGGAUUCACUGGGUUUAAAGGGAGCGCAGGCGGAUUUGUAAGUCAGUGGUGAAAGGCUUAAGCUUAACUUGGGAACUGCCAUUGAAACUGUUAGACUUGAGGACGAGAGAGGUGAGUGGAAUUCCCAGUGUAGAGGUGAAAUUCGUAGAUAUUGGGAAGAACACCGGUGGCGAAGGCGGCUCACUGGCUCGUAUCUGACGCUCAGGCGCGACAGCGUGGGGAUCAAACAGG